AGUUCAAACCUAUUUUCCAACAUCAUCUCGGCCCAACAUAAUUCACCAUCUUCGUCGUCUGCUCAGUUUCUCCAACGAUCACCGAUUGUGCAACCACCAUUAUAACGCUUUCUCUACACAUUCAUAUCAAGACAUUAAGCUUCUUAAUCAUGUUGUCCCACUGACUAUUCUUCGAUUCAUCUUCCUCACUUUUUCUAUUAUUCUGAUUCUAUAUAUAGAGAUAGAUCGAGAACAAGCCUCUACACAUCUCAUCGAUUCUUCAUCCCAACUCUCACUAUAUGCGUCGUCUGACAUUCACUAAGUUUCUAUGGCUCCGCGAAACGACCAUUGUAAUGCCUUUCCUCGGCAUUCCACUUUCAAAAUUGUCUCAAAAGUCUAGGGUAGAUGAAAGAAACGACGACUAAGGCGGGUUUAGAUUUUAUAACAAGAAGUAGAUUUUUUCUUUCUUUGAAGAGAGGACACAAUCUUUGUCUUCUUAAACACAAUCUCAAGUCUCACACUGACCGCCAUUUUAGGCCGAAUCUCUUCGAGAAACAGAGGAAAUUGAUAAAGGAUAUUGAUGAGUACGAUGGUGAUGAACAUCUCUUCCCCUGGAUCGAGUGAGUAGUCAUCUUCCAAUAAGUUGUUGAGAAGUCGGAGAUUAUGGGUUCUUGAAAACUACAGCUUUUUGGAAUUGUAUUAGCACAUUUUGCGAUUCUCUCUAGAUUGACUUACAAUAUGUGUAUAUAAUGGGGAGAAGAGGAUUCUCCUCCAGUAAGAGACUGCUUGGGACUGUUGUUGAUAUAUGAGCAAUGCAUCCUCAAGUUCUGGCACUCACAACAUUACAAGGAUGAUCUUUUUUAAACUCAAAGUUGCGGAGCAUUGCGUUGAUGCAGCAAUAAUUUACAAGUUUUUGGAGGUUAAAUGACUUUGGAAAGACAUAUGCUUUGGCACACAUACUUUGGAAACCACCACUCAGAUCUUCAACCUCGAAAUAUCUAGAUGCAAAGCCUAUGGAAAAUUUGAAUGAUGCUUACAAGAAACUCAUGGUGAUAACAAUGAGAAGACUCAAAACAGUUGAUGAACAGGAAGCAAAGAAAAAUGACCUACCAUCGAGAAGCUUUGUCCCUAUGUCAUUUAGGGGAGAUAAUAUAGAAGGCAUGUGUUAAAACCAGAGUUUGAAUAUUGGCUCAUGCGUGGAUACAGAGGAGAGAGGACAGUGAGUAAUUCUUAACCUGGGAAAAUGGACAACAUUCAAGGUUUUGACUCUGUGCUAGCCUCCAAACUAAACCAACUUAUUUAUGCAAGUUGAUCUUUUACCUGCACACACACAUACAUCUAUUUAUCCUCGCAGGUUCCAGAAAGACCGUUUGUGAGAACUCAUGCAGCUUCUACUUAUUCCUUUGAGGUUUUUGUCGACGAAGAAAAAAUGUAUAGAAUUAGUUGACAAAUUUUAAGUGUUUACGCUUAAAGACGGAGAUGUUUCGCUUCUGAAUUUAAAUUACGAAAAAUGCAGAAAAGCAAGAAGAAUGAAACCUAUUCUCUGCCGCUAAUGAUGGCCAUGACCCAUGGGAUUUUUUUUUUUUUUUUUUUUUGUAACACAACCAU
Molecule: long non-coding RNA, 1587 nt
Organism: Raphanus sativus (radish)
Lineage: Eukaryota; Viridiplantae; Streptophyta; Magnoliopsida; Brassicales; Brassicaceae
Exons: 7
Source: RefSeq, a predicted model, not a curated record